RNAcentral lists this ribosomal RNA (468 nucleotides) under uncultured bacterium. Its description in RNAcentral is "partial 16S ribosomal RNA". It matches the Rfam family "Bacterial small subunit ribosomal RNA", at positions 28 to 506 of the family's 1533-position model. The record is from RNAcentral.
GACGAACGCUGGCGGCGUGCUUAACACAUGCAAGUCGAACGGAAAGGCCCUGCUUGCAGGGUGCUCGAGUGGCGAACGGGUGAGUAACACGUGGGUGAUCUGCCCCUUACUUUGGGAUAAGCCUGGGAAACUGGGUCUAAUACUGGAUAGGACCAUGCUGUAGGUGGUGUGGUGGAAAGAUUAGUUUCGGUAAGGGAUGAGCUCGCGGCCUAUCAGCUUGUUGGUGGGGUAAUGGCCUACCAAGGCGUCGACGGGUAGCCGGCCUGAGAGGGUGGACGGCCACAUUGGGACUGAGAUACGGCCCAGACUCCUACGGGAGGCAGCAAUGGGGAGUAUUGCACAAUGGGCGCAAGCCUGAUGCAGCGACGCCGCGUGGGGGAUGACGGCCUUCGGGUUGUAAACUCCUUUCAGCCAUGACGAAGCCCUUGUGGUGACGGUUGUGGUAGAAGAAGCACCGGCUAACUACGU